RNAcentral lists this long non-coding RNA (3299 nucleotides) under Equus caballus (horse). RNAcentral describes it as "lncRNA (ENSECAG00000057969.1)". The record is from RNAcentral. Lineage: Eukaryota; Metazoa; Chordata; Mammalia; Perissodactyla; Equidae.
UUCGGGGUGGGGGCGGGGCGAGGACUCAGUGGGCGGGAACAGAGCUGCAAGGGGUGGGCCCUAGCUCGAGAGUGUCCUCCCAGGGCGUGGCCUGUUCUUAGAGAGCGGGCCCCAAGGGAGGUGUAAUGCUGGACUCGUGGCCAAGAUGAUCCGAGAAGCUCGAGUGCAAUUGCUUAGAGAGGCUUGGGGGGGAACCUGGGGGGGUGAGUGAAUUGGGCAGGUCCACGGUGUGCUAGGGGUCUGCGUCUGACUGCUGGUCGGAUACGUGCCUUGGGGUGCUCUGGGUCGUGACCCGCCGGCGGCUCACCCACCGCUCCCGGCUGUACGUCCCUUUGCUCCACAUGCCCACUUGGUUUAGGUAGCUCAGCGUGCCUGGGGGCGGGGGCUAGGUGGGCCGUUGGACUCGGAACCCCGCCCUAGGCCCCGCCCCGUCCCUCGAGGCACACAUGCCCCUCGGGUCCGCCCCAUGCGACCCCGGGCCCUGCCUCGUCUUCUGCCUCGGCUCCGCCCCCUGCCCAGGCCACGCCCCUCUCUCCCGAGGCCCCGCCCCUCCCUCCCGAGGCCCCGCCCUCACCGGCCCACAGCAUCAGGGCGGCAGCGCCCCAGCACAGGUAGGUGGUCACCAGGUAGGAUACCUGUGGCCUCGGGCGCAGUGUCUCGCAGUUGACUACAAAGAGCGUGAGGCUGAGGACAAUCAGGAACCCUGCACUGGGGUGGGGCCAGAGACGGACACGAGGCUGGACAGGGACCCCGGGACUCGCAGAAAGAGAAGAGACAGAGACAUCCUCUCCCCGCCUCCAUGACAAACACACACACACACACACACACACACACACACACACACACGAUAGACUAAAAUGAUACCAGCAAAGAGGCGGAAAGAAGAGGGAAACAUGGCAAAGUGAGAGACACCCCUCACACCCCGACUGAGAAAGAUAAAGUAGAACAGAUGCACCAGGGAGAGGUGGAGCAGAGAUCCCAAGAGACAUUCAAAGACGGAGACCCAGCAGCCAGCAGGACAGAAACUCUGAGAUACACCUCCCCAAAGCUGGAAAGAGAGCCCCGGGGAGAGAUGCUGAGGGGGGAGGGCACCCCUUCCCCCAAGCCGACACUUACCAACGCUGAAGCUGAGGGAACUGAAGACAAGGUCGAUCUUGUUAAGGCGGCGGAAGACUGGCCAGAAGGAGAUGCCCAUGGUGAGGAGGAGGACCAGACACAGCAUCAGGGCCAGCAUCAUGCAGCCCAUGCUCAUGUGGAUGAGAACUGGGGGGCAAAGGGCGGGGGGGAGGAUGCCCCGGAGUCAUCCCCAGACGCUCUCCAAGGUCACCCUCCAAACUCAUCCGCUUGACACCCACGAGCAGCAUCCCAAACAGACACCCCCAAAGUUUAGCCACAGACAUCCUCAAAAUCAGCUCCACUUGCAUUUCCAAAGUCACCUCCUAGAAACCCCAAAAUGACUCCUCUCACUCACAAAUCAUCCCCAAGUCCCCGUAAAGUCUGUUCAAAGUCAUCCCCACUCACACCCUCAGAGCUGUCUCAAAUCGCACCCACCUUACUCCACAGUCAGCCCCGAGAGAACGUCAUAAUCAACCCCACCCACACCCCCAAGGCCACCCCACAGAUGACCCUGAGUCACUCCACAGAAGCAUCUCAACCAUUUCUAGAGUCACCUCCACGUACAGCUCCAAAAUCACCCCACUCAUAAUUCCAAAAGAUGUCCCACAGCCACUCACAUUCGUACCCUCAGUGUCACCCCUGGACACUCCCAAUAGCACCCUCAAAGUUACCCAAGACACCUUAGUCAUCUCCAGACACCCUACUUCUGCUAAAGUCUCUGCCACUCCCACCCUAAGGUCCCCUGGUCACCCCAUUCACAGCCCCAGAAGUUCCCUGGGUAGCGCAGUGGCAUCCCCAUUCACACCCCAGAGCCCCCCACAUUCUCUGAAUCACCCCCGUCGUCCCCCAGAGCGCACACACACACGUAUACACAAGGAAAACCUCCAAUCAAAUACUCUAAUGCCAACGUACCUAAAAGAUGCAAUCACACUCCGUUUACAACGGAUAUUUAUCCAAUUUACGUUUCAGUAUGUCAAGAGCUUCAGCCCCUCCUGAGAAUUACGUCUCCUCCUUUUGGCUCUUCCUAUUGAGUCUGCUUUUCAACAAUGCAAGACUGUUUGAGCCAAAUGAGCUAAGACUCCCUCUGCUUCGUUUCUGGCAAACUGCAUGUCUCUAACACCUAACCAGAAAGCGGGAGGCAUCCACCUCUCCCAGGAAGGAAUCCAGCCUCCCUUACAGCUAGGACCUCGGCACGUGACCAGGCUCCACCAAUAAAACAGAGCCACGCCCUGAAAUCGGCAGCCGGAAGAAGCAGGCUGGUCAGAGCGGCCGCAGCCAUCUCUAAGGUCCUGAGGCAGCGGAGAAAAGGGUUCCCCAGGGGAGACCAGGCCAGGAGAGGCCGGGGUCCACAGGGCAGGCUGCAAGGCGUGUGCCCAGCCAGCCAGUCCUCCAGAGCAUCUCUGGGUAUGGUCCUGGUCACUCGACCCCCGCAGCCCAGUUCUCUCGCCUCCCAGAGAUCCCACAAGCUCCCCGACAGACGUCCCGUAUAAAUCUGUUUUCUGCUUAAACCAGUUUGAAUUGGCUCCUGCUGCUUGUCAUGAGAAUCCUGACCUCUCUGGGGAGUGUCUAUCAAAGGCUUACAAAAUCUCACCAGCCCUUUUGAAACACGGUUACUCCACUCUUGGGAAUCUUACCCCCAAAGGAAUUAUGCUCAAAUAAAGAAUCACAAAUAUAGGGGGAAAUGGUGCGCAGUCGUUUCUGCCCACCCAGCAUCCGUUCCUGUUCUUCUGGCAACAGCAACUCGAUUUUGUUCCGAGGAACUCUCCAGCCACCGUCUGUCCUUGUGCUCCUAACGGAAGGGACCGCUCCACUGACUUUUAAGAAAAGCAUGUGAUCCAGAUCCAGCCAGUCACAGCAUGAUGUUCUCCUGACCACAGCAACUGGGAGGAGUGAGAAAUGCCAGGGAAGAGCAUCUGAUCCCAUUGGAGUUAAUCCUGAGACCUUCGCUUGAGAGCCACAGAAGGCAAUCAGUCCUCUUUUUCCCAGGGUUGUUUACAGAAAGGAGGGACUCUGGGCACUGGUGACGGCCCCAUUGCCACAGCGUGAGCACAGCUUGUCUGAGGGCCCAACACAGAGGAAGCUGUCACAGAGAGAUGGCAAGAGACAGAUUGCUACUCACACCCUUUGAGCACCUGGAUCCAGCAGUACCUGAACCCACUUACAUCCAUGCCUCUGGAUUUUUC